RNAcentral lists this ribosomal RNA (196 nucleotides) under uncultured bacterium. RNAcentral describes it as "partial 16S ribosomal RNA". It matches the Rfam family "Bacterial small subunit ribosomal RNA", at positions 1307 to 1500 of the family's 1533-position model. The record is from RNAcentral.
GCAACUCGACUGCGUGAAGGUGGAGUCGCUAGUAAUCGCGGAUCAGCAACGCCGCGGUGAAUGCGUUCCCGGGCCUUGUACACACCGCCCGUCAAGUCAUGAAAGUGGGCAGCACCCGAAGACGGUGGCCUAACCCUUGUGGGGGGAGCCGUCUAAGGUGAGGCUCGUGAUUGGGACUAAGUCGUAACAAGGUAAC